GGAAAAUAAUUCAAUAUUAGCUUGGGAGAAGCAAAUUUUUAUCGAUUUAUGAAUGGAAAUGGGAUGUAACAUUCUGGACACUUGCAAAAUAUCAGAAAGCAUGAGCAACAAUGCGCUCUUCCCCUGAGCUGGCUCUGCUGCCACACCAACCUGUCCCGCUACGUGGAUGUGUUCUCACCCUGCUCUGGCUUAACUUCUCCAUGCUGGACUGACCUUUGUGAGGUGCUGCCUUCACCCUGUAUCAGCUUCUUCAUCACAUCUUUGCAAGUCUGGGUCACCUGCAUUUGUGACUUCCUUGGGAACCAGGUUCUACCCCUGUGGUGGAAAGAUCUAUCUGAGGGCUUUCUCUGGUCUGAGCGCCGCUGCUUGUCAGA
This is a long non-coding RNA of Miniopterus natalensis, 374 nucleotides long. RefSeq lists it as uncharacterized. The record is from RefSeq and is a predicted model, not a curated record. Lineage: Eukaryota; Metazoa; Chordata; Mammalia; Chiroptera; Miniopteridae.